AGUGAACGCUGGCGGUAGGCCUAACACAUGCAAGUCGAACGGCAGCACAGUAAGAGCUUGCUCUUACGGGUGGCGAGUGGCGGACGGGUGAGGAAUACAUCGGAAUCUACUUUUUCGUGGGGGAUAACGUAGGGAAACUUACGCUAAUACCGCAUACGACCUACGGGUGAAAGCAGGGGAUCUUCGGACCUUGCGCGAUUGAAUGAGCCGAUGUCGGAUUAGCUAGUUGGCGGGGUAAAGGCCCACCAAGGCGACGAACCGUAGCUGGUCUGAGAGGAUGAUCAGCCACACUGGAACUGAGACACGGUCCAGACUCCUACGGGAGGCAGCAGUGGGGAAUAUUGGACAAAGGGCGCAAGCCUGAUCCAGCCAUACCGCGUGGGUGAAGAAGGCCUUCGGGUUGUAAAGCCCUUUUGUUGGGAAAGAAAAGCAGCAGGUUAAUACCCCGCUGUUCUGACGGUACCCAAAGAAUAAGCACCGGCUAACUUCGUG
RNAcentral lists this ribosomal RNA (492 nucleotides) under uncultured bacterium. Its description in RNAcentral is "partial 16S ribosomal RNA". It matches the Rfam family "Bacterial small subunit ribosomal RNA", at positions 29 to 507 of the family's 1533-position model. The record is from RNAcentral.